AUUGAACGCUGGCGGCAGGCCUAACACAUGCAAGUCGAGCGGAUGAAGGGAGCUUGCUCCUGGAUUCAGCGGCGGACGGGUGAGUAAUGCCUAGGAAUCUGCCUGGUAGUGGGGGAUAACGUCCGGAAACGGGCGCUAAUACCGCAUACGUCCUGAGGGAGAAAGUGGGGGAUCUUCGGACCUCACGCUAUCAGAUGAGCCUAGGUCGGAUUAGCUAGUUGGUUGGGUAAAGGCCUACCAAGGCGACGAUCCGUAACUGGUCUGAGAGGAUGAUCAGUCACACUGGAACUGAGACACGGUCCAGACUCCUACGGGAGGCAGCAGUGGGGAAUAUUGGACAAUGGGCGAAAGCCUGAUCGAGCAAUGCCGCGUGUGUGAAGAAGGUCUUCGGAUUGUAAAGCACUUUAAGUUGGGAGGAAGGGAAGUAAGUUAAUACCUUGCUGUUUUGACGUUACCAACAGAGUAAGCACCGGCUAACUUCGUG
Molecule: ribosomal RNA, 484 nt
Filed under: uncultured bacterium
Lineage: Bacteria
Description: partial 16S ribosomal RNA
Rfam family: Bacterial small subunit ribosomal RNA
Source: RNAcentral